UACGAAGGGGGCUAGCGUUGUUCGGAAUCACUGGGCGUAAAGGGCGCGUAGGCGGCUUGGCAAGUCAGGUGUGAAAGGCCUGGGCUCAACCCAGGAACUGCACUUGAGACUGCCUCGCUUGAGUCCGGGAGAGGAUGGCGGAAUUCCCAGUGUAGAGGUGAAAUUCGUAGAUAUUGGGAGGAACACCGGUGGCGAAGGCGGCCACCUGGACGGUAACUGACGCUGAGACGCGAAAGCGUGGGGAGCAAACAGG
Molecule: ribosomal RNA, 253 nt
Filed under: uncultured bacterium
Lineage: Bacteria
Description: partial 16S ribosomal RNA
Rfam family: Bacterial small subunit ribosomal RNA
Source: RNAcentral